GACAGAGGUGCCAAGCGUUAGGCGGAAUCACUGGGCUUAAAGCGCGUGUAGGCGGCCCGAUAAGUCCGCUGUGAAAGUCCAGGGCUCAACCCUGGAAUGCCGGUGGAUACUGUCGGGCUCGAGUCCGGAAGAGGCGAGUGGAAUUCCUGGUGUAGCGGUGAAAUGCGCAGAUAUCAGGAGGAACACCGAUGGCGAAGGCAGCUCGCUGGGACGGUACUGACGCUGAGGCACGAAAGCGUGGGGAGCAAACAGG
RNAcentral lists this ribosomal RNA (253 nucleotides) under uncultured bacterium. RNAcentral's name for it is "partial 16S ribosomal RNA". It matches the Rfam family "Bacterial small subunit ribosomal RNA", at positions 524 to 776 of the family's 1533-position model. The record is from RNAcentral.